This 651-nucleotide ribosomal RNA is filed under the name uncultured bacterium. RNAcentral's name for it is "bacterial SSU rRNA". It matches the Rfam family "Bacterial small subunit ribosomal RNA", at positions 62 to 681 of the family's 1533-position model. The record is from RNAcentral.
UCGAGCGAGCGGAACUACAGAUUUACUUCGGUAAUGACGUUAGGAAAGCGAGCGGCGGAUGGGUGAGUAACACGUGGGGAAUCUGCCCCAUAGUCUGGGAUACCACUUGGAAACAGGUGCUAAUACCGGAUAAGAAAGCAGAUCGCAUGAUCAGCUUUUAAAAGGCGGCGUAAGCUGUCGCUAUGGGAUGGCCCCGCGGUGCAUUAGCUAGUUGGUAAGGUAAAGGCUUACCAAGGCGAUGAUGCAUAGCCGAGUUGAGAGACUGAUCGGCCACAUUGGGACUGAGACACGGCCCAAACUCCUACGGGAGGCAGCAGUAGGGAAUCUUCCACAAUGGACGCAAGUCUGAUGGAGCAACGCCGCGUGAGUGAAGAAGGUUUUCGGAUCGUAAAGCUCUGUUGUUGGUGAAGAAGGAUAGAGGUAGUAACUGGCCUUUAUUUGACGGUAAUCAACCAGAAAGUCACGGCUAACUACGUGCCAGCAGCCGCGGUAAUACGUAGGUGGCAAGCGUUGUCCGGAUUUAUUGGGCGUAAAGCGAGCGCAGGCGGAAGAAUAAGUCUGAUGUGAAAGCCCUCGGCUUAACCGAGGAACUGCAUCGGAAACUGUUUUUCUUGAGUGCAGAAGAGGAGAGUGGAACUCCAUGUGUAGCGG